AUUGAACGCUGGCGGCAGGCCUAACACAUGCCAGUCGAGCGGAUGAAGGGAGCUUGCUCCUGGAUUCAGCGGCGGACGGGUGAGUAAUGCCUAGGAAUCUGCCUGGUAGUGGGGGAUAACGUCCGUAAACGGGCGCUAAUACCGCAUACGUCCUGAGGGAGAAAGUGGGGGAUCUUCGGACCUCACGCUAUCAGAUGAGCCUAGGUCGGAUUAGCUAGUUGGUGGGGUAAAGGCCUACCAAGGCGACGAUCCGUAACUGGUCUGAGAGGAUGAUCAGUCACACUGGAACUGAGACACGGUCCAGACUCCUACGGGAGGCAGCAGUGGGGAAUAUUGGACAAUGGGCGAAAGCCUGAUCCAGCCCUGCCGCGUGUGUGAAGAAGGUCUUCGGAUUGUAAAGCACUUUAAGUUGGGAGGAAGGGCAGUAAGUUAAUACCUUGCUGUUUUGACGUUACCAACAGAAUAAGCACCGGCUAACUUCGUG
Molecule: ribosomal RNA, 484 nt
Filed under: uncultured bacterium
Lineage: Bacteria
Description: partial 16S ribosomal RNA
Rfam family: Bacterial small subunit ribosomal RNA
Source: RNAcentral